This 467-nucleotide ribosomal RNA is filed under the name uncultured bacterium. RNAcentral describes it as "partial 16S ribosomal RNA". It matches the Rfam family "Bacterial small subunit ribosomal RNA", at positions 28 to 506 of the family's 1533-position model. The record is from RNAcentral.
GACGAACGCUGGCGGCGUGCUUAACACAUGCAAGUCGAACGGAAAGGCCCUGCUUUUGUGGGGUGCUCGAGUGGCGAACGGGUGAGUAACACGUGAGUAACCUGCCCUUGACUUUGGGAUAACUUCAGGAAACUGGGGCUAAUACCGGAUAGGAGCUCCUGCUGCAUGGUGGGGGUUGGAAAGUUUCGGCGGUUGGGGAUGGACUCGCGGCUUAUCAGCUUGUUGGUGGGGUAGUGGCUUACCAAGGCUUUGACGGGUAGCCGGCCUGAGAGGGCGACCGGCCACAUUGGGACUGAGAUACGGCCCAGACUCCUACGGGAGGCAGCAGUGGGGAAUAUUGCACAAUGGGCGGAAGCCUGAUGCAGCAACGCCGCGUGUGGGAUGACGGCCUUCGGGUUGUAAACCGCUUUCGCCUGUGACGAAGCGUGAGUGACGGUAAUGGGUAAAGAAGCACCGGCUAACUACGU